UUGCAGUUCUAGUUCUUAUACUCAAUCAUACACAUGACAUCUAGUCAUAUUUGACUCCAAAACACUAACCAAGCUUCUUCUUACUUCUCAAAGCUUUGAUGGUG
Molecule: small RNA, 104 nt
Filed under: Arabidopsis thaliana (thale cress)
Lineage: Eukaryota; Viridiplantae; Streptophyta; Magnoliopsida; Brassicales; Brassicaceae
Description: ATSL089830
Source: RNAcentral